Molecule: transfer RNA, 72 nt
Filed under: Camelus ferus (Wild Bactrian camel)
Lineage: Eukaryota; Metazoa; Chordata; Mammalia; Artiodactyla; Camelidae
Rfam family: tRNA
About the family: Transfer RNA (tRNA) molecules are approximately 80 nucleotides in length. Their secondary structure includes four short double-helical elements and three loops (D, anti-codon, and T loops).
Source: Rfam by way of RNAcentral
GAGAGUGUAGCUCAGUGGUAGAGCUCAUGCCUAGCAUGCAAGAGGUCCUAAGUUCAAUUCCCAGUACCUCCA